Molecule: microRNA, 21 nt
Filed under: Sorghum bicolor (sorghum)
Lineage: Eukaryota; Viridiplantae; Streptophyta; Magnoliopsida; Poales; Poaceae
Description: sbi-miR5568d-5p
Source: miRBase by way of RNAcentral
UGGCUUUUCUAGAUACAUAGC